GGGCGGGGAGAGGUGCGCAUGCGCACGGGCCGGCGGGACCCAGGACGCUGCAGGCCUCCAGACGCAACGCGAGGGGUUCCCCCGGGAGCACCUCCUUCAGCGCCGGGGUUUCAGAGCUUGGGCCAGUAUUCCAGCGUCCUAAAUGUGUCAGGGAAACUGCCAGAAGCGGCGGAGCCGACAGCACGGUGCGGACGAGGACCACAGGCAGCUGAAGAAAUGGAAGUUCUGAGAAACUAAGGGGCUUCCCUGAUGCUUGCAGAUGAGGCAAGGACGAAUGGAGAAUCGGGCUUUGGACGCCACAAGGGGGCUUUUGUUGGAAUCUUUCUGUUCUAUUUCCCCAGCAUUGCAAUGAUCCUCCAACAACCAGUUUCGUCUCUUCAGCUAUAGUUCUUACUUCCCGUCUGCUGUCACUGCAGGUGAUACCCCACGUGCACCUCUCCUGGGUGACAGUGGACUUCCGUAACACCCAGCACUGCCCAGACGGAGCACCGCUGACCACGGAGACACCAACACACGAUCAUGGAAACUUGGUUCUACCGUGGCUCGCUCUGCCCGCGUUCUGGAGAGAGGCUGUCUUGCGGGACUCAGAGAUGACAGAGGGACAUUGAGGCCAAGUUCUGAGAGUGGCCCGUUCCAAGGAAUGGGACGUGGAACUAUCGUCCACCCAGGUGCUCAAGCCACAAACCGAGGGGUCAGCCUUAAUCUCUCUUUCUGUCACCUGCCACGUGCAACCGACUCCACACCCAGUCCACAUCCCAAACCCAUCUGCGGCUUCCAUUGUUGCCACUUCUAUGGUGGUUGGAGACACCACGCAGUAGGCCUCAGACAAGAUUCCCCGUUUCUACUCUUGUUCCUUUAGAGAGCUGGUGUAGUCUUUUUUAUUUUUGUAUUUUUUAAAUUUUUAAAAAUGUUUAUUUAUUUUUGCAAGAAAGAGAGCCAGGGAGGGGCAGAGAGAGAGGGAGACACAGAAUCUGAAGCAGGCUCCAGGCCCUCAGCUGUCAGCCCAGAGCCUGACACGGGACUCGAACUCCUGGCCGGUGAGAUCACGACCUGUGCUGAAGUGGGCAAUUAACCGACUGAGCCACCCGGGAGCCCCUGGCAUAGUCUGUUUUAAAAAUAUAAAUCAUAACAUAUCACUUUGCCAAUUCUCGAAUGGCUCUCCAUCAUAUGUAAAUUAAAAUCCACACUUCUCGCCUGAAUAACCCCAACCCUCAUCUUGUGCCUCUCUGCCCUUACUCACCAAGCUCUGGCCAUAGUGGCUUCCUCUCUGCUCUCCCAACACCCCAGGCUUGGUUGAAAUGUACUUCCCCUGGUUUUUUCACAGGCCUCCUUUUAAGGACUCAGCUUGACAGUUACCUUCUUAGAGAAAACUCCCCUGAGUACCUGUCCUGAAGUAACCACCCAGUUCCAUCACACUGCUGUUUCCUCAGCACAGCGCUUACUUCUGGCGGGUCCUUGUGUGUAUGUGUGUGCCUUCAGUCUCAAACUUUUGUGGAGUGGAUGAAAGCUAAGGCCUAUUCCUCCAUCUCCCCGGUGGGAGACAGGAACUACUGAGCAGGGGUCAAGACUGUCAGAACUUUGUGGGGUGCACGGUGGCUCAGUCGGUGAGGCAUCUGACUCCGGAUUUUGGCUCAGGUCAUGAUCUCAUGGUUGUGGGCUCUGGCCCCACAUUGUGCCCUGUGCUGACAGCUCGGAGUCUGCUUGGGAUUCUCUCUCUCCCCGUCUCCCUCUCUCUCGCUCCCUCCCUCUCUCCCUCCCUCUCUCUCUCAAAAUAAAUAAACAUUAAAUAAAAAACUGUAAUAACUUUAUUUCAGAUUUUUUUUUAACUUCCUCAU
Long non-coding RNA from Acinonyx jubatus (cheetah), 1835 nucleotides. RefSeq lists it as uncharacterized. NCBI's taxonomy places the organism in Eukaryota, Metazoa, Chordata, Mammalia, Carnivora, Felidae. The transcript has 3 exons. The record is from RefSeq and is a predicted model, not a curated record.